This 378-nucleotide non-coding RNA is filed under the name Nomascus leucogenys (northern white-cheeked gibbon). RNAcentral describes it as "Bacterial large subunit ribosomal RNA". It matches the Rfam family "Bacterial large subunit ribosomal RNA", at positions 2074 to 2646 of the family's 2925-position model. The record is from Rfam by way of RNAcentral. Lineage: Eukaryota; Metazoa; Chordata; Mammalia; Primates; Hylobatidae.
AACAAGAUGAGAAGACCCUAUGGAGCUUUAAUUCAUUAAUGCAAAUAGAAACUCACCCUAACCCAUUACCAUUGCAUUAAAAAUUUUGGCUGGGGUGAUCCUGGAGCAUAAUUUAACCUCCGAACAACCUAAACUAAGACGGCACUAGUCUAAGCGAGUUAACAUAUAUUGACCCAAUAAUUUAACAGAACAAGUUACCCGACGGAUAACAGCGUAAUCCUAUUCUAGAGUCCAUAUAGACAAUAGGGUUUACGACCUCAAUGUCGGAUGAGGACAUCCUAAUGGUGUAGCUGCUAUUAAGGGUUCAUUUGUUCAACAAUUAAAGUCCUACGUGAUUUGAGUUCAGACUGGAGUAAUCCAGGUCGGUUUCUAUCUAUU